This 240-nucleotide ribosomal RNA is filed under the name uncultured bacterium. RNAcentral describes it as "partial 16S ribosomal RNA". It matches the Rfam family "Bacterial small subunit ribosomal RNA", at positions 96 to 334 of the family's 1533-position model. RNAcentral also lists the same sequence under 1 other name. The record is from RNAcentral.
UGGCGAACGGGUGAGUAACGCGUGAGGAACCUGCCUCAAAGAGGGGGACAACAGUUGGAAACGACUGCUAAUACCGCAUAAGCCCACGGGUCGGCAUCGACCUGAGGGAAAAGGAGCAAUCCGCUUUGAGAUGGCCUCGCGUCCGAUUAGCUAGUUGGUGAGGUAACGGCCCACCAAGGCGACGAUCGGUAGCCGGACUGAGAGGUUGAACGGCCACAUUGGGACUGAGACACGGCCCAG